RNAcentral lists this unclassified non-coding RNA (256 nucleotides) under uncultured fungus. Its description in RNAcentral is "sequence contains ITS1". The record is from RNAcentral. Lineage: Eukaryota; Fungi.
AUCUUUUUAUUUUAUAUAUAUGAUAUAUUUAUUUUUAAGAGUGGAUGGUUUUAAAUAAAUUCAUCUUGCUCCUCCCUAUAAAAGGGCGAGAAAAAAUAAGUUCAUAGUUAAGACGUGUUCAUUGCGAAUUAUCAUCUCAAACUUAAUAAAACUUAUUUGGUGCAGAUUUACUUUUUGAAAAACUUAAAGGACCAAUUUUUGAAAAGUAAACCCAACCCAAAUAAUAAUGAUCCUUCCGCAGGUUCACCUACGGAAA